Molecule: ribosomal RNA, 197 nt
Filed under: uncultured bacterium
Lineage: Bacteria
Description: partial 16S ribosomal RNA
Rfam family: Bacterial small subunit ribosomal RNA
Source: RNAcentral
ACGCUCGACACCUACGGGGCAGCAGUGGGGAAUAUUGCACAAUGGGGGAAACCCUGAUGCAGCGACGCCGCGUGAGCGAAGAAGUAUUUCGGUAUGUAAAGCUCUAUCAGCAGGGAAGAAACUGACGGUACCUGACUAAGAAGCACCGGCUAAAUACGUGCCAGCAGCCGCGGUAAUCUGAGGCGGGCUGGCAAGGC